GUGGCUGACGUUGACUAGUUGCAUUAAUUAGCAAUUUAAUGGGACUUCUGUCUGCCACAUAGAAGAAUUGGUUUCUGCCGACAGGGCCUGUUGAGACGUUGGGCUCCCUGUGCGAUGACUCCAUACAUG
Rana temporaria (common frog) is the source of this 129-nucleotide non-coding RNA. The record is from RefSeq and is a predicted model, not a curated record. NCBI's taxonomy places the organism in Eukaryota, Metazoa, Chordata, Amphibia, Anura, Ranidae.